ACCUCUUUCAGCAGGGAAGAAGCGAAAGUGACGGUACCUGCAGAAGAAGCGCCGGCUAACUACGUGCCAGCAGCCGCGGUAAUACGUAGGGCGCGAGCGUUGUCCGGAAUUAUUGGGCGUAAAGAGCUCGUAGGCGGCUUGUCGCGUCGGUUGUGAAAGCCCGGGGCUUAACCCCGGGUCUGCAGUCGAUACGGGCAGGCUAGAGUUCGGUAGGGGAGAUCGGAAUUCCUGGUGUAGCGGUGAAAUGCGCAGAUAUCAGGAGGAACACCGGUGGCGAAGGCGGAUCUCUGGGCCGAUACUGACGCUGAGGAGCGAAAGCGUGGGGAGCGAACAGGAUUAGAUACCCUGGUAGUCCACGCCGUAAACGGUGGGCACUAGGUGUGGGCGACAUUCCACGUCGUCCGUGCCGCAGCUAACGCAUUAAGUGCCCCGCCUGGGGAGUACGGCCGCAAGGCUAAAACUCAAAGGAAUUGACGGGGGCCCGCACAAGCGGCGGAGCAUGUGGCUUAAUUCGACGCAACGCGAAGAACCUUACCAAGGCUUGACAUACACCGGAAAACCCUGGAGACAGGGUCCCCCUUGUGGUCGGUGUACAGGUGGUGCAUGGCUGUCGUCAGCUC
This 620-nucleotide ribosomal RNA is filed under the name uncultured Streptomyces sp. RNAcentral describes it as "bacterial SSU rRNA". It matches the Rfam family "Bacterial small subunit ribosomal RNA", at positions 429 to 1061 of the family's 1533-position model. Lineage: Bacteria; Bacillati; Actinomycetota; Actinomycetes; Kitasatosporales; Streptomycetaceae. The record is from RNAcentral.